AGAAUCAACGCUGGCGGCGCGCCUAACACAUGCAAGUCGAACGAGAAAGCCGGAGCAAUCUGGUGAGUAAAGUGGCGUACGGGUGAGUAACACGUGGAUCAUCUACCUCUUAGUGUGGAAUAACCCUGGGAAACUAGGGCUAAUACCGCAUAAGUCCGUGAGGAGAAAGCAGCAAUGCGCUGAGAGAGGAGUCCGCGGCCGAUUAGCUAGUUGGCAGGGUAAAAGCCUACCAAGGCAGAGAUCGGUAGCCGGCCUGAGAGGGCACACGGCCACACUGGCACUGAAACACGGGCCAGACUCCUACGGGAGGCAGCAGUGGGGAAUCUUGCACAAUGGGGGAAACCCUGAUGCAGCGACGCCGCGUGAGCGAUGAAGCCCUUCGGGGUGUAAAGCUCUUUCGGCAGGGAAGAUAAUGACGGUACCUGCAGAAGCAGCUGCGGCUAACUACGUGCCAGCAGCCGCGGUAAUACGUAGGCAGCGAGCGUUGUUCGGAGUUACUGGGCGUAAAGGGUGUGUAGGCGGUCGCCUAAGUUUGGUGUGAAAUCUCCCGGCUCAACCGGGAGGGUGCGCCGAAUACUGAGUGACUAGAGUGCGGGAGAGGAAAGUGGAAUUCCUGGUGUAGCGGUGAAAUGCGUAGAUAUCAGGAGGAACACCGGCGGUGUAGACGGCUUUCUGGACCGUAACUGACGCUGAAACACGAAAGCGUGGGUAGCAAACAGGAUUAGAUACCCUGGUAGUCCACGCCCUAAACGAUGCAUAUUUGGUGUGGGUCAUUCAGUUGAUCCGUGCCGGAGCUAACGCGUUAAAUAUGCCGCCUGGGGAGUACAGUCGCAAGGCUGAA
This 841-nucleotide ribosomal RNA is filed under the name uncultured bacterium. RNAcentral's name for it is "bacterial SSU rRNA". It matches the Rfam family "Bacterial small subunit ribosomal RNA", at positions 26 to 898 of the family's 1533-position model. The record is from RNAcentral.